GGGCAACUUAAACCCAGAAUUGGAGAAUCCUGAGAUCCCAAACUCAAUACUAGUGGGCAAAAACCCUAGAAAACCUGAAACCCAUUUCAUAGGAUCAUUCAAAAUGAUCAGAAGAAGAUUGUUUUCUUCACUGCUUUCAUCAACCUUAAUCCUCAACACCAGAAUCAGCGCAAAACCCAUUUCUCACGCCCUAAUACCAUCUUUUCAGUUACUUCAAUCUCUACAAUGCCCAAAUCCUAACAAUUACACUUCUAAUGGGGCAUUUUGGUUUGUGGGUAUUAGGGGUUACAGCCUGUUGAGUUUAAAUGAUUUAAGGGACAAGGUGCCAAGGAAGCAGAAGACAAGGAAAGGACGUGGGAUUGGGUCUGGGAAGGGAAAGACUGCAGGGAGAGGUCACAAGGGUCAGAAGGCUCGAGGGACUAUGAAGUUUGGCUUUGAAGGUGGCCAGACACCCAUGCGCCGCCGGUUGCCAAAAAGAGGGUUUAAGAACCCCUUUAGCCUAACUUUUCAGCCAGUAGGGUUGGGAAAGAUUGCAAAACUUAUAAAUGAAGGAAAGAUAGAUUCACAUGAAUUAAUCACGAUGAAAACUCUCAAGGUACGUAUCCCUCCGUAAUUUUGAAAUGUAACCUCUAGAGUCCAGACAUGGUCUGCUUUUGUUUAUAUUGAUCAUUGCAGAUGCUAUGAUAGGAUACUGGCGCCAUAGGAAAGCAGAUAAAAGAUGGCGUAAGAUUGAUGGGGCGUGGUGCUGAUCAGAUUAAAUGGCCUAUCCAUCUAGAGGUGUCACGAGUGACUGUUAGGGCAAAGCAAGCAGUUGAAGCAGCUGGAGGAUCUGUCAGACGAGUGCAUUACAACAAGCUGGGCUUCCGGGCAUUGCUGAAGCCAGAGUGGUUUGAAAAGAAGGGCAGGUUGUUGCCAAAACCAGCCAGGCCUCCACCAAAGCUGAAGGAUAAAGUUGACAGCAUUGGCCGCUUGCCUGCUCCAACCAAACCUAUUCCAUUUUAUGCUGAAGAAAAAGAAGCAGCUCCUACUGCUGCCUAGUUUAUCGGUGACCAUUUUGUUAUAGUUAUUUAACAAGUUGUAUUUUGAUUAUGAAUAACUUUAGAAGAGAUUUUGGUUCCUAUGCAAUUUUAGUUGCAGCUCAUGCUUUUCAUCAACUUUGCUGUUGUGUUUAGGAACAAGUGAAUUUGUUUGUGAGGUUGUCUGUGCUGGGCUUCAUUCCAAAGAAAUAAUAUUUGAAAAAUUCCAGCCAAAAUUUUAAUCUACUACAUCAAUCCUUUCUCAGUGAUCAAAUCACAUGUUACUGUGAAAUCUAUGUUGGGAAUAUAAAACAACCAUGGACUCUCAAACGUGGAAGAUGGAGCUAAAUUGAAGUUGUCCCACAUUGAUUUCUUAUGGCCGCAUAGAAAGC
This 1408-nucleotide unclassified non-coding RNA is filed under the name Hevea brasiliensis (rubber tree). Lineage: Eukaryota; Viridiplantae; Streptophyta; Magnoliopsida; Malpighiales; Euphorbiaceae. The record is from RNAcentral.